GGUGCCAUAGCUCAGUUGGUAGAGCAAAGGACUGAAAAUCCUUGUGUCCCCGGUUCGAUUCCUGGUGGCACC
Molecule: transfer RNA, 72 nt
Filed under: Bacteroides fragilis
Lineage: Bacteria; Pseudomonadati; Bacteroidota; Bacteroidia; Bacteroidales; Bacteroidaceae
Also listed under: 8 other names
Description: tRNA-Phe
Rfam family: tRNA
About the family: Transfer RNA (tRNA) molecules are approximately 80 nucleotides in length. Their secondary structure includes four short double-helical elements and three loops (D, anti-codon, and T loops).
Source: RNAcentral